UGGAUGGAUGGAAUGAAUAUGCAAUCGCAACUCCUUAAUACCUCCCCGGAUGUACAUGAUCCAAGUUUUUGUCGGUUGGGUUCUAUCCGUUAAAGGAUUGUUAGUAGGAAUGUGGUCUUGAAUGGAUUAUGCCGGUGUGCCUGUGCUUGACAUGGAUGGUCAAUAUACUUUCCCUUUGUAAUGGGAGAAUAUCGUCGUGGACAGUAUGUUGGAGAUGCCUCUUGUUAACACCGACAACCAGAUUUUCGCAUUGUGAUGUAUCACGAUAUCCUGGGAGUUCGUCGAUUUGUUGUCUCUCUCCACCUUGGUGUAGUUUCGUGUGGAGCCUAAGUAGUUUUUGUCUUUGAUUCUCUGUACAGUAUGGGAGGAAUGCGAAGUCUGUUGUUUCCCACGUUUCGCUUGCCAACAGCAUCAAACAUUUCAUCCUCCUUCCGUUGCACAAGGCGAUUUCUCCAUAAGUACGAGGUGGGUGACGAUAUUUCUGUGCGUUAGAAUGGUAGCAUCCUCAGAAAAGCGAAUUGGUUAUCCUUAGUCGUCGUCGCUUGCUAAUGCCAGAGUGUGAGCUUGUCGAAAGGAGUACCUUCGCCAUCGCGAUUGUCAUCAUCCACCUUUUCGUGCUGCAAACGAGCAGCAGCAGCAGGGAGCUAUGCAGACUAUAGGGCAAGGGCAAAGCUCGAGCCAUGGUCAAUCCUUUCCUGCAGUGGUUAGUGACAAAGAGCCCUCUUGCUUGUGGGGUUAAUCUACUGUAGCCCCAGAACUGGUCUCUCUUGUCCGAGGACAGAAGACUUGCUCUUGGCUUGUCGGUCUGGUAUAACUAUAAAUAAUGAGUUUCCAAAGGAAAAAAAUGUAUGUUAAUGGAACACUGAACACAUAAACAGUUUUACAUCGUUGGUUUUA
Non-coding RNA from Physcomitrium patens, 897 nucleotides. The record is from RefSeq and is a predicted model, not a curated record. Lineage: Eukaryota; Viridiplantae; Streptophyta; Bryopsida; Funariales; Funariaceae.